CAGCAGUGGUGUGGGCCCAUAGAUUUAUUCCAAUUUGAGGUUCAACAGAACUCACAAUCCAACUCAUCACUUUUGCAUUGUUUUUCUGCCAUUGUUUUACUUCUUUUUCAUUUCCUUUAUCUUCCCUAGGUUGGCCUUCACUUCCAUCAACAAAACCUCAAAGUUCUUGACCCAUAAUGAAACAUCUUAAAUGAAACUCGCACAAAAAAUAGUUUUUUCCAUUAAAGCAUACAGGAAUUGCAGCAGUUUUGGUGUUGGNNNNNNNNNNNNNNNNNNNNUUGGCCUUCACUUCCAUCAACAAAACCUCAAAGUUCUUGACCCAUAAUGAAACAUCUUAAAUGAAACUCGCACAAAAAAUAGUUUUUUCCAUUAAAGCAUACAGGAAUUGCAGCAGUUUUGGUGUUGGUAUCCAUUAGGAACAGAGAUUUCGAAAGCUAGAGAGAUCAAAACAGAAAUAGUCAACAAACCUGACAGAAGUUUCUCAGAAAAAAAUACCAGACCUUAGAUUCCCACGAUCUCAAGAUGCUGCAGAAGAAUCCUUGAAUGAGGGCAGCGGACUCCAGAAAGCCCUCUAGAUGAGGGCGGCAGUUUCAGAAGCCCUUGGCUCUGAUACCAUGACAAAAACACAAGAACAAGAAUAGAGAGAUGGUUUGGAAUGCCAAAUUUGCCCUGUCCUCCUUGGGAUCAGAGAGCUUCCUUAUAUAGAUCUUCAAUAGAGAAAAAUAUAUUAAUACAGUCUAUACCAACAACUAUACAAAACAGGAUAAUCAAUAAUAUUCUACAGCCCCGA
This 790-nucleotide long non-coding RNA is filed under the name Elaeis guineensis (African oil palm). RNAcentral's name for it is "long non-coding RNA (EGUI_LNC030886)". Lineage: Eukaryota; Viridiplantae; Streptophyta; Magnoliopsida; Arecales; Arecaceae. The record is from RNAcentral.